RNAcentral lists this long non-coding RNA (948 nucleotides) under Felis catus (domestic cat). RNAcentral's name for it is "lncRNA (ENSFCAG00000045892.2)". Lineage: Eukaryota; Metazoa; Chordata; Mammalia; Carnivora; Felidae. The record is from RNAcentral.
GGCCAGUGUUCUCCUGACAACGACACCUUCCUGUUGUCCCCUCUGGUGUCCUGCUGGUCCCUCAGACACAGCACUCACAACAGUGGGUGCGACAGCAUGUGUGUCUGACGCCAUGCAUACAGAGUGAGUUUCAACGGCAGGAACCAGGUCUGAGCCAUUCUCGCAUCCACAGCAAUCAACGCAGUAUCUGGGGCACAGGAGACGCUCACACAGUGAAUAAAAUAAUGAAUAAGCGAAGUUAAUAAGAUUAGUACAUAAAUAAUAGAUAAGAACAUUACCGAUAAACCGCUAACUCAAGUGUAUGUACGUAAUUAACUCAAAGAAAUAAUUACGAUAUGUGUUAGCACAAGGUAGCAUGUAUGUCGCAGAGUGAUGUGGCUAGAAGUCAGGUCAGGGUACUUCAGAAAUCCUGUCAUAUACGCCGCACGGAACACCUGCGCUAGCACGGCCCAGAGUCAUUCGCAAACAUCUUUGGGAUGUCACCGGCAGAAUAAAAGUAACAAAUCGUAAGAGUGUGGCUUGAUUGACUUUUCCAGACGUGUGUACCCAUGGAGCCAGCACCAGAUGGGAGGCUGAACAUCUUCACCCCAGCCCACCCCUCCCACACGCAUCCUCCAAGGACACGGCACGCCCGAGGAGUGUUUCUAGAAUGCGGGCCAAGGUUGCAGUGGGGGCACCAGCAAGGGUAGAAUAAGUGUGAGACUCAUGAAGAACUGAUGAUGGUGGGCACAACUGUGGAUGAUUGAGGAUGCAAAACAAUGGAGGACUCAACACUCAUGGGACCAGGAGACGAAGGUCACCCUUGUGUUGUCUCUCACCUACCCCAAUGUUCCUGAGUCGCCUACCAGCUUGGACUCAGGUAUCUGAAAACAAGAAGAGGGAUGUGAAAUUCGUAUCCCCUUCGUAGGUCCCUGAACACCUGUUGCUGUGGCAUUACUCUCUUCUUAU